CCCGACUGCUAUUUGGGUGAGGUUAAACCAUGCGAGUUGUAUGGGAUACCUAAAUUUCCCAUAGCAAACUGCUUAGUAACACAUGAUCAACUUGCCCUAUGGAGAAAUAUAACCUCGGGAAACUGAGGAUAAUGAUUCAUAGUUGAAUAGGCUUGGAAAAGUUUUUCAAUGAAAGGGAUAAGAAAAAUGGUUCUUAUCUGCCAUAGGAUAGGAUCGUGCUCGAUUAUGGUUGUUGGUGAGGUAACGGCUCACCAAGCCGAUAAUCGAUAGGGGCCGUGAGAGCGGGAGCCCCAAGAUGGGUACUGAGACAGCGACCCAGGCCUUACGAGGCGCAGCAGGUACGAAACCUCCGCAAUACACGAAAGUGUGACGGGGUUACCCAAAGUGUUCUUAUUGAACUGUGGCAGGUGAGUAAUGUCCCCUGCUAGAAAGGAGAGGGCAAGGCUGGUGCCAGCCGCCGCGGUAAAACCAGCUCUUCAAGUGGUCGGGAUAAUUAUUGGGCUUAAAGUGUCCGUAGCCGGUUUAGUAAGUUCCUGGUAAAAUCAGGUAGCUUAACUAUCUGUAUGCUAGGAAUACUGCUAUACUAGAGGGCGGGAGAGGUCUGAGGUACUACAGGGGUAGGGGUGAAAUCUUAUAAUCCUUGUAGGACCACCAGUGGCGAAGGCGCCAGACUGGAGCGCGCCUGACGGUGAGGGACGAAAGCCAGGGGAGCGAACCGGAUUAGAUACCCGGGUAGUCCUGGCCGUAAACGAUGCAUACUAGGUGAUGGUACGGCCAUGAGCCGUGCCAGUGCCGUAGGGAAACCGUUAAGUGUGCCGCCUGGGAAGUACGGUCGCAAGGCUAAAACUUAAAGGAAUUGGCGGGGGAGCACCACAAGGGGUGAAGCCUGCGGUUC
This 895-nucleotide ribosomal RNA is filed under the name uncultured archaeon. RNAcentral's name for it is "bacterial SSU rRNA". It matches the Rfam family "Archaeal small subunit ribosomal RNA", at positions 21 to 903 of the family's 1478-position model. The record is from RNAcentral.